UCCCCUCUCCAGUGAGAAUGCCCUUAAUAUCAAUUUAGAUCAAGAGGAGCAGGUAUUAAGCACACUAACUAGUAGCUCAAGAUGCCUUGCUUAACCACACCCCCAAGGGAUACAGCAGUGAUAAAAAUUUAGCAAUAAACGUAAGUUUGACUAAGCUAUGCUACUCCAGGGUUGGUAAAUUUCGUGCCAGCCACCGCGGUCAUACGAUUAACCCAAACUAAUAAACAUCGGCGUAAAGCGUGAUUUAAAAUCAAAUAACAACUAAGCUGUAAAAAGUAAUAGUUGUAAACAAAAAUAAACAACGAAAGUGAUUUUAUAGUCUUCGAACUCACGAUAGCUAAGACCCAAACUGGGAUUAGAUACCCCACUAUGCUUAGCCCUAAACUUAGAUAAUUUCCUAACAAAAUUAUUCGCCAGAGAACUACAAGCCAGAGCUUAAAACUCAAAGGACUUGGCGGUGCUUUAUACCCGCCUAGAGGAGCCUGUUCUAUAAUCGAUAAACCCCGAUAAACCUUACCACUCUUUGCCAACUCAGCCUAUAUACCGCCAUCUUCAGCAAACCCUAAAAAGGAGCAAAAGUAAGCUCAAUCAUCACCAUAAAAACGUUAGGUCAAGGUGUAGCCUAUAGAGUGGAAAGCAAUGGGCUACAUUUUCUACCUUAGAACACACGAAAGCCCCUAUGAAACUCUAGGGGCCAAAGGAGGAUUU
RNAcentral lists this ribosomal RNA (708 nucleotides) under Lepus californicus (black-tailed jackrabbit). RNAcentral describes it as "partial 12S ribosomal RNA". It matches the Rfam family "Bacterial small subunit ribosomal RNA", at positions 302 to 1333 of the family's 1533-position model. The record is from RNAcentral. Lineage: Eukaryota; Metazoa; Chordata; Mammalia; Lagomorpha; Leporidae.